RNAcentral lists this ribosomal RNA (373 nucleotides) under uncultured organism. RNAcentral's name for it is "partial 16S ribosomal RNA". It matches the Rfam family "Bacterial small subunit ribosomal RNA", at positions 527 to 896 of the family's 1533-position model. The record is from RNAcentral.
GUAGGUGGCAAGCGUUGUCCGGAAUUAUUGGGCGUAAAGCGCGCGCAGGUGGUUCUUUAAGUCUGAUGUGAAAGCCCCCGGCUCAACCGGGGAGGGUCAUUGGAAACUGGGGAACUUGAGUGCAGGAGAGGAAAGUGGAAUUCCACGUGUAGCGGUGAAAUGCGUAGAUAUGUGGAGGAACACCAGUGGCGAAGGCGACUUUCUGGCCUGUAACUGACACUGAGGCGCGAAAGCGUGGGGAGCAAACAGGGAUUAGAUACCCUGGUAGUCCUCGCCGUAAACGAUGAGUGCUAAGUGUUGGGGGGGUUUCCCGCCCCUCAGUGCUGCAGCUAACGCAUUAAGCACUCCGCCUGGGGAUACGGUCGCAAGACUG